Molecule: non-coding RNA, 876 nt
Organism: Paramuricea clavata
Lineage: Eukaryota; Metazoa; Cnidaria; Anthozoa; Malacalcyonacea; Plexauridae
Source: the annotation of a GenBank genome assembly
AGCAAAUUUCCGCGUAGUGGCCUCGCUAGUUCAGUUCACUGGAUUUACAUGAACUCCAGUUACACAUUGAGCGCACCGAACCGCCCUUAAUAUAACAGAGGUCCACCCCCCAUCGAAGUGUGAUGUUUUGUAUUUGAAUUUUUGGCGGUGGGACACAAGUCUUUGCCGAUUUUUUGUAUCAUUUUAUGUAUAUAUCAAGUCUCGUUUAUUCGCUGAACUAAAUGGAUCGUAUUCUCGUAAUAAAGCGCAAUAUUCGGUGAGUAUUUUUAUAUUUUGUAGCGACUUAUUUACACUUCAAUUGAUUGUGAUUUGUGAUAGAUUUGAUCGCAUAUAUAAACAUCAUAGACACAUAUAAAAAUCUAUUUACUGUCGUUCCAAUUGAAGUGUUGCUCAAAUAUUGAUUCAAUACAUUACCUCGUGCUGACCAAUUCAUUUCAUCAAGUUCCUCGAGAUAUUCAUACACUUCCUAGUAUAAUUGUAAACUUCCUGUUGAAUAGUUUGAAUGCACCAAUCACCUUUGUUGUUUGUGCAACUAACCAAUCAUAAAUAGAAAGGAAGUGACCAGAAAUGAUCAAAUACUUGGAAUUAGAUCUUUCACAGGAAGUGUAUGAAUAUCUCUAGGAACUUGAUCAAAUGAAUUGGUCAGCCAGAGGUAAUGUAUUGAAUCAAUAUUUGAGCAACACUUCAAUUGGAACGACAGUAAAUAUCGACCUAAUCCGUAUUACAGAUGAUAUUUCUUAUAAUAGUUUUCUAAAUGACAGUCUAUUUGUUAUUAUAUUUUAGAGUGAAGAAUUUUGCUUAUUUUAAGUAUGGUAUUCGGACUACUUUCCUAUGACGAACUCCAGGCAAGGUAUGCAUCUUUUAUCUUUAUACAGU